GGGGGGGGCAAGCGUUGUUCGGAAUUACUGGGCGUAAAGGGCGCGUAGGCGGCCUGCUAAGUCGGACGUGAAAUCCCUCGGCUCAACCGGGGAACUGCGUCCGAUACUGGUGGGCUCGAAUCCGGGAGAGGGAUGUGGAAUUCCAGGUGUAGCGGUGAAAUGCGUAGAUAUCUGGAGGAACACCGGUGGCGAAGGCGGCAUCCUGGACCGGUAUUGACGCUGAUGCGCGAAAGCCGGGGGAGCAAACGGGAUUAGAUACCCCGGUAGUCCUGGCCCUAAACGAUGAGUGCUUGGUGUGGCGGGUAUCGAUCCCUGCCGUGCCGAAGCGAACGCAUUAAGCACUCCGCCUGGGGAGUACGGUCGCAAGGCUG
This 371-nucleotide ribosomal RNA is filed under the name uncultured bacterium. RNAcentral describes it as "bacterial SSU rRNA". It matches the Rfam family "Bacterial small subunit ribosomal RNA", at positions 527 to 896 of the family's 1533-position model. The record is from RNAcentral.